Molecule: ribosomal RNA, 484 nt
Filed under: uncultured bacterium
Lineage: Bacteria
Description: partial 16S ribosomal RNA
Rfam family: Bacterial small subunit ribosomal RNA
Source: RNAcentral
AUUGAACGCUGGCGGCAUGCUUUACACAUGCAAGUCGAACGGCCGCGCGGGCUUCGGCCUGGCGGCGAGUGGCGAACGGGUGAGUAAUGCAUCGGAACGUGCCCAGUCGUGGGGGAUAGCCCGGCGAAAGCCGGCUUAAUACCGCAUACGACCUGAGGGUGAAAGCGGGGGACCGAAAGUGCUCGCGCGAUUUGCGGGGACGUUGUCGGAUUUGCUAGCUGGUGGGGUAACGGCUUACCAAGGCGACGAACCGUAGCUGGUCUGAGAGGGCGACCAGCCACACUGGGACUGAGACACGGCCCAGACUCCUACGGGAGGCAGCAGUGGGGAAUUUUGGACAAUGGGGGCAACCCUGAUCCAGCCAUGCCGCGUGCGGGAAGAAGGCCUUCGGGUUGUAAACCGCUUUUGUUCGGGAAGAAAUCCUCUGGGCUAAUACCCCGGGGGGAUGACGGUACCGGAAGAAUAAGCACCGGCUAACUACGUG